Molecule: ribosomal RNA, 253 nt
Filed under: uncultured bacterium
Lineage: Bacteria
Description: partial 16S ribosomal RNA
Rfam family: Bacterial small subunit ribosomal RNA
Source: RNAcentral
UACGAAGGGUGCAAGCGUUACUCGGAAUUACUGGGCGUAAAGCGUGCGUAGGUGGUUUUUUAAGUCCGUUGUGAAAGCCCUGGGCUCAACCUGGGAAUGGCAGUGGAUACUGGAAGGCUAGAGUGCGGUAGAGGGUAGUGGAAUUCCCGGUGUAGCAGUGAAAUGCGUAGAGAUCGGGAGGAACACCAGUGGCGAAGGCGGCUACCUGGACCAGCACUGACACUGAGGCACGAAAGCGUGGGGAGCAAACAGG